This is a non-coding RNA of Cucurbita pepo subsp. pepo (vegetable marrow), 517 nucleotides long. NCBI's taxonomy places the organism in Eukaryota, Viridiplantae, Streptophyta, Magnoliopsida, Cucurbitales, Cucurbitaceae. The record is from RefSeq and is a predicted model, not a curated record.
AAUUCUGAAUUUUUUAUUUUGGGUUUGUCAAGGGAUAUGCGUUGAUCGAAUACGAGAACUUUGAGGAAGCGGAGAAAGCAAUAUCUGCCAUGGAUGGGUCUGAACUUCUGACCCAAAUUAUCAAUGUUGAUUGGGCAUUCAGCCAUGGACCCAUCAGGAGGAAGAACACAAGGCCUACUAGGGAACGACGCUCAAGGAGUCCUAGGAGGAGAUAUUAGUCUUGAGGUGAAGAACUUCAUGUGUGGUGUUUAUGGAUUUUAAUUGGAAAUGAGUUUUUGUUGUGGAAUGGAUUAGAAAGAUGUUUCUACUGAGCUCUCUACUCGUUGUCUCGAGAUUUCCCCUGGUUUCCAGCCUUUCUUUCUCGGACGUUGUUUUGGGUUGAUUUAUGUAACUUAGAAGAUUUGAGGUUCAUGAUUCUCUCUUUUUUUCUUCUUUUGAGUACUUGAGGUUUAUGCCUUAAUUGUGUUGAAUAUCUGCUAUAUUAUAUAAUAUUUUUUGUUCCAAAUUUGUCUAUUAA